RNAcentral lists this ribosomal RNA (468 nucleotides) under uncultured bacterium. RNAcentral describes it as "partial 16S ribosomal RNA". It matches the Rfam family "Bacterial small subunit ribosomal RNA", at positions 28 to 507 of the family's 1533-position model. The record is from RNAcentral.
AACGAACGCUGGCGGCGUGCCUAACACAUGCAAGUCGAACGGAAAGGCCCUGCUUUUGUGCGGUGCUCUAGUUGCGAACGGGUGAGUUACACGUGAGUUACCUGCCCCUGCCUUUGGGAUAACCUCAUACAACUUGGGCUCAUCCCGCAUAGGAGCUCCCGCUGCUUGGUGGGCGUUGGAUAGUUUCGGCGGUUGGGGAUGGACUGGCGGCGCAUCAGCUUGUUGCUUGGGUAGUGGCUGACCAAGGCUAGGACGGGUAGCAGGCCUGAGAGGGUGACAGGACACAUUGGGACUGAGAUGCGACACAGACUAGUACGGGAGGCAGCAGUGCGGAAUAUUGCACAGUGGGCGGAAGGCAGAUGCAGCAAAGCCGCGUGGGGGAUGACGGCAAUCGGGUUGUGAACCGAUUUCGCCUGUGACGAAGCGUGAGUGACGGUAAUGGGUAAAGAAGCACCGGCUAACUACGUG